This is a non-coding RNA of Misgurnus anguillicaudatus (oriental weatherfish), 224 nucleotides long. The record is from RefSeq and is a predicted model, not a curated record. Lineage: Eukaryota; Metazoa; Chordata; Actinopteri; Cypriniformes; Cobitidae.
UACAUCUAGAUCUGUGGGCCGUGACAAGUCAACUUGUGGUUUGUCAAGGUCCAGUUCUAUGAGCCGGGACAGUUCAAGUAGUCGUUCGUCCACGUCCGUGGGCCGGGACAGUUUAAGUAGUGUACCCAGGUCCCAGGCUGUGGAGAGCAAGUCCAUAGAUGGUCUUACACAUGAAAGUUCCAAAUACAAUAGGACUGUGCCAACCACAUUCCCGAUGUCAGAAG